RNAcentral lists this transfer RNA (72 nucleotides) under Loxodonta africana (African savanna elephant). It matches the Rfam family "tRNA". Rfam says of the family: Transfer RNA (tRNA) molecules are approximately 80 nucleotides in length. Their secondary structure includes four short double-helical elements and three loops (D, anti-codon, and T loops). Further hydrogen bonds mediate the characteristic L-shaped molecular structure. tRNAs have two regions of fundamental functional importance: the anti-codon, which is responsible for specific mRNA codon recognition, and the 3' end, to which the tRNAs corresponding amino acid is attached (by aminoacyl-tRNA synthetases). tRNAs cope with the degeneracy of the genetic code in two manners: having more than one tRNA (with a specific anti-codon) for a particular amino acid; and 'wobble' base-pairing, i.e. permitting non-standard base-pairing at the 3rd anti-codon position. Lineage: Eukaryota; Metazoa; Chordata; Mammalia; Proboscidea; Elephantidae. The record is from Rfam by way of RNAcentral.
GCAGUGGUGGUCCAGUGGUUAAAAUUCUGGCCUCCCAUGCAGGAGACCCAGGUUUGAUUCCUGGUCAAUGCA